This 318-nucleotide ribosomal RNA is filed under the name Triticum aestivum (bread wheat). RNAcentral describes it as "partial small subunit ribosomal RNA". Lineage: Eukaryota; Viridiplantae; Streptophyta; Magnoliopsida; Poales; Poaceae. The record is from RNAcentral.
AUGUAUAAUGUGACACACACAUCAGGAUAUCUGAAUAAUUUUGACAUGUUUGCUCUGUUAUCUAGCAGUAGGUUGAUACUUGUCACUUGCCCUUUCCAAAUACAUAUCAGUUUUGUUGUUAUGAGAAUGUUAUAUGCAUGGUUUCUUAUUAGAUCUCAAAUUCUGCAGCUAUGUUUCAUUGUUAGAAGAAUGUUAUAUGCACGGGUACACUUGAUUGUGUUCCCUAACUUUUCUGAUUUUUUGAUUUAUAAUCCGCAGAUUUUGGCCUUCAUUCAUAAAAAGUUUGUGUACAAGGAACUCCAGGAGAAGAAUCUUUAA